RNAcentral lists this ribosomal RNA (463 nucleotides) under uncultured bacterium. RNAcentral's name for it is "partial 16S ribosomal RNA". It matches the Rfam family "Bacterial small subunit ribosomal RNA", at positions 28 to 507 of the family's 1533-position model. The record is from RNAcentral.
GACGAACGCUGGCGGCAUGCCUAACACAUGCAAGUCGAACGGACAGACAAGGGCUUUGUUGUUUGCGCUAGUGGCGGACGGGUGAGUAACACGUGAGCAACCUGCCCCUGAGAGGGGGAUAGCUUCUGGAAACGGAGGGUAAUACCCCAUAAAAUAUAAUUAUCGAUUGAGAGAGAUAGCAAAGAACUGCGGUUAGGGAUGGGCUCGCAGCUGAUUAGAUGGUUGGUGAGGUAGCGGCUUACCAAGGCGACGAUGAGUAGCCGGGCUGAGAGGGUGAACGGCCACAAUGGGGCUACGACACAGCCUAGAAUCCUACGGAAGGGAGGAGUGGGGAAUACUGCACAAUGGAGCGAGCUCUGAUGCAGCCAUGCCGGGUAGAGCAAGAAGGUGUUCGGAAUCUAAUCUCCUUUUAUCAGGGACGAUAGUGACGGUACCUGAUGAAAAAGCUCCGGCUAACUACGUG